UACGGGGGGGGCAAGCGUUGUUCGGAAUUACUGGGCGUAAAGGGCUCGUAGGCGGCCAACUAAGUCAGACGUGAAAUCCCUCGGCUUAACCGGGGAACUGCGUCUGAUACUGGAUGGCUUGAGAUUGGGAGAGGGAUGCGGAAUUCCAGGUGUAGCGGUGAAAUGCGUAGAUAUCUGGAGGAACACCGGUGGCGAAGGCGGCAUCCUGGACCAACACUGACACUGAUGAGCGAAAGCCAGGGGAGCAAACGGG
RNAcentral lists this ribosomal RNA (253 nucleotides) under uncultured bacterium. RNAcentral describes it as "partial 16S ribosomal RNA". It matches the Rfam family "Bacterial small subunit ribosomal RNA", at positions 524 to 776 of the family's 1533-position model. The record is from RNAcentral.